Molecule: long non-coding RNA, 2016 nt
Filed under: Bemisia tabaci
Lineage: Eukaryota; Metazoa; Arthropoda; Insecta; Hemiptera; Aleyrodidae
Description: lncRNA ENSSSA2NGG009529
Source: RNAcentral
UCUGCCUUACCUACCUAAUUCCCCUUUAGUUUCUUUUCAAGCAAGUUCAUUUUUAUACAAGUCUGAACUUAUCUUGUUCACUGAAAGUUUUUCAGGGUGGGGGGCGGCGGGGGGAGGGGUGUAGGGGGUAGGGUGGCAUGAAGCGUAGAAAAGAAAUGAAAAAUUGGAAAUAUCAGUAAAAAACUUCAUGAAUUUUCACGAGGCUGUUCAAUAUUUCAUAUUUUUCAGGGGCAAGAGUAUGCAACCCCACUGAAACACACAAAAAUGGAAGAAAGUAAACAUUUUAACUAUUUGCGAAACAUGAGUAGGAACCCGUAUUUUUCAAUAUCUUUCAUAAAUUUCUGAAAUUUCAUGGAAUAUUUCAUGUGAAAUUUCAAGAUUUUAUUUUUCAUGAAAUUUUGCGCGCCAUCCUGGUGGGGGAGCAGUAGGUACCGGCAAACCAAGAAAUUUCCUAACUCAUCAAAAUCUAUGAAGGCAAUGUAAGGAAUUGAUGUUUUAUCCAUUCCAAAAAAAAAAUCUCAAGAUUGUAGGAUUUUUUAAUGAAUCAUGAACCUUGAUUGCAGGGGAAAAAAGAAAAAAGUUCCGGAAACUUUCCGAGUGCGCUGCCUUUCUUCUUUUUUCUUUAUUUUACUUGUUUUUUUUUCAUUAAUUUCUUAUUAAUAAUUUUUUUGACGAACAGCUGCGAUUCAGGUAAGAAGCCAAUUUUUGUGCAAACCAGCCUUUUUUCACAAUUUUUUUCGAAGUAAGUGACAAAAUUACGAAUUUGAUGGUUUUGAAAGUUUUGUGAAAUGAUGUGAUUUUAAAGUUUUUUCACUAAAAACAUGGGAAACAAGGCAAAAUCUGGAAGAAGAAGGAAGAAAUUCAAUCCAAAGCAGAAGCAUGGAAACCCAGACUUGAGCUCCUUGGCUUUGUUACAAGGCUCUCAAUGUUUUCAUAAUGAGGAUUCAGACAUGGAAUGGUCAGACUCUUCAGCAUCACAAACUUGGUGGUCUACAAAUUGGUCUACAAGAUGGAAGCAUGUCGUGCGUGUCACAAGUAUCUGGUUGUGACACUUCUUUUCAAAUCAACAAACUGCAGACUGAGAUACUCGUCCACGAGCAAAGAUUUUCUUUGAGUGGUGUGAUUCGAUACAAAAAUGAUUCGGCACACUAUGUGGCAUAUGUUCGGAAAAUGGAUGGACAUUGGGAAAUACAUGAUGACCUAAAGGAUGAGCCCCAGCUCAACCCAUCAACAAGCAAACACAUAAAUCUUAUCUUCUAAUUAUACUGAAAUAUGGAAUGAGCUGGAAUCAUGAGUUGAAAGUUCGUUGUCACCUUCUUGUUUCAUUCGUUCAUCAGCACAUUUUCGUUUCACAGGAAAAACACUGGCACUUCAAUCUGCCCAAUUUUCGAAAUCCUUCUACUGUUGUAAUUGUAGACAUGUAUUAUGUAUUAUUGUAUUUGUAUUAUGUGUGUUUGAGAUUUCGUAGAUACAGUUGUAAAUACAGCAAUAAAAGUAUUCCUUUUUUUAAAACACUUUUUUGAAGGACAAAAUUGUCAAGACAAAUCGUACAAAUUCCUUCGAACUGAACAUAACCUAUAAUCAAAAUAACAACACCAAUAGGCAAGUUCUAGUAGCAACAGCCGCCAUUCGGUGGUCAGCAAUCUCCAGUGUUGCACAACAGCGGUCACCGCUUAUGAAAAAAACGCCCCUCAAGAGCCUCUGAGAAGUUUUGAAACUUUCAGCCGUACUUUCUCUGCGCUUGUAAGUCUGAUUGUCAAUAUUUUUGGCUCAAAAAAUCAAGCAGAAAAUAAUCUAGAUCUUGUGGAUCUGCUUUUUGGAAUUUGAACAAUAUUAUCUCAGUAAUCGUCGAAGGAAAGUGAAAUUCUCAGUGGCGACUGGUGGCGCUAUCUCUAAUCUUGAAAUAUCCCUAAUCGAACCCUGGAUUCACCUUAACGCUUAUUCCCUGUUCCCACUCCCCGGGGAGGGGGAAGUAGGGUGGCUAACCGCAUUCGACCCCCGCGGCAACUAACUUGG